AACCUAGUGGGAGGGAGUUGUCACCACUGGAGCCACUAGAGGGCACUGUACUUUGGAUGGGGCCAGUGGCAGGGAGCGAAGAAGGAAGUGGGCUCCGCUGUAUCGGGUGACGAGCUGGUGACGGGUUGGUUGUUUUCCGUAAGAACUACCUCUACAGUUAUUUUUGCACUGUAUUUUUACACUGAAUGUAUGCACUUGAAUUAUACACCGAUUAUUUGCACUUUGAGUUAGUUAGGUUUUCAAGUGAGAUUUUAUGUGCACCGUGUAAAUGUACUGGACCAUCUUUGUUAAAUCUAUUCUAAAUUGAACAUUCGAAAUUAAAUUAAUACUACUCUAAAUCCCUUAAGAGUAGUCGAGAAAUAAAGAUCCCUGAAGAUAG
Cyclopterus lumpus (lumpfish) is the source of this 379-nucleotide long non-coding RNA. RefSeq lists it as uncharacterized. The record is from RefSeq and is a predicted model, not a curated record. Lineage: Eukaryota; Metazoa; Chordata; Actinopteri; Perciformes; Cyclopteridae. The transcript is spliced from 2 exons.